Arachis duranensis is the source of this 2478-nucleotide long non-coding RNA. RefSeq lists it as uncharacterized. The record is from RefSeq and is a predicted model, not a curated record. The transcript is spliced from 5 exons. NCBI's taxonomy places the organism in Eukaryota, Viridiplantae, Streptophyta, Magnoliopsida, Fabales, Fabaceae.
CUCUCAAACGAAGCUCUCUUCCCCCCAAAAAAACAAAACCUUAGCAGUAGCCUCCACCGCCAUGGCAAGGAGGGCUGUCUCCCACCGUCUGUCGCACCGUUGUCGUUCAUGAGCUCUCCAACUCCUGUUCACUCCAACUCCUCUCAACUCUCACUCUCUCAAGCGAAGCUCUCUUCCCCCCAAAAAGAAACCCUAGCUUACAGUUGCUUCCGUCCUCGUCUGGUCGUCGUCGUCGUGCUCCAAGUCUCCAACUCCUCUUCUCAUUCACCAAUUGUAGCUUCUUUCUCAUUCUCCAAAAAACAGCUGCAGCGGCAAGAGGAAGAGGAGGAAGGCACCAGAGAGUUUAAUGUAACAGGAAUGGAAGUGAUGUCCUCACUCUCAUCCACUCUCUCUUCCAAUUCUGCACCAAAUUGAUUUUUCAUUUUCCCCUAAUAGAUUCUUUUUCCAACAACUUCACUUUCAAAACUUCACCUAGGGUUCCACUUCGCUCUGCCUCUUAGGGUUCAUGGAUGUUGACGUGUAACCACUUAUUGUCGCUGGAUUCGUACAAUCUUAUUGUGGAGGGGCAUAUACGAAAGAUGGCAUUCCGAUAUGCAUACAUUUCACCUUCCGGUUGGUGAGUGUGUCAUCACAUUAGAAGACGUGGCUAUGAUACUUGGUCUUUCGAUUAAUGGUCUUCCAGUUAAAGGAAUGACAGUAAGUAGUUUCGAUGCCCUAGAAGUUGAAUGCUUGGAUCAGUUUGGGGUGGCACCUAGGAAGGCGGAUUGCAGAGGUAGUUUUAUAAAGUUGACGUGACUAUAGAAUCUGAAAGACCGUUUAGUCUUGAAUGAUGAAAUUAAAAUUCAAAGGUACGUAAAGUGCCACAUCAUGUUGUUAUUCAGGACGAUCCUAUUUGGAGACAAGUAUGGGACAGCGGCACACUAGAAAUUUUUGCCUUCACUGCGGGACUUUACUAUUAUCGAUGAAUGCAGUUGGGGAUCGGCUUGCCUGGCACACUUGUUACAGAUCUCUUUGUAGGGCAUCUCAUUUUCGACUAUAAGGAGGUCGAUGGUCCACUAACACUUUUGCUAAUUUGGGCAUGGAUCCAUUUACUAUUUCUUGUGUCGAUUCCUGUCAAUCGCUGACUUUUUCCACUUACAAACAGGAGGUCGUUAGAUGAACUACAAGAAGGCCAAUUUGUAUGGGAGGCUUAUGGUGUUGGUCUAAUUGAGCCAGACGUGAUUUUGGCAGACAUCCUUCAGCAUUCAAUAGUGUAGAGUGCUUUAGUACCGUUGAUAUCAUUUGAAUGCGUUGAGUGACAUGGAACUGACAGGUAUAAGCGACAGUUUGGUUUAAUCUAAGGCGUUCCUCAUCAAGAACGGAAUCUAGACCGAGCACACGAGGAAUUCCUGACUGACCCUAAAAAUCUUGACUGGUCCUCCGAAUAUUCAUUCUGGGUAUUGCAAUGGACGAACCGGUUUAGUCAUGUUCUUACUGAUCUUUCUGUGCAGGCACUGCAUCCCUUAGAGCUUUACAUGUACUAGUACUGUAGAAAAUAUGGCCACCACUUGAACUUGUCCAUUCUUAUGGAGUAGGAUAACUAAGAGGACAAUUCGGUAGGUGAUAAUGAGAAUUAAGUGCCACAGACACCUUUACCACCACAGUCACCCCCCACCACCACCAUCACCCCCCAAAACCACAACAACAAGCCAUGAUAACACAAGAACCAACUCAGCAUUCCUCGAAUCCAUAUAUUCCUCAAACAUAUUACAUACCACAGUCAUACCCAUUAGAUCAGUAAUAUUGGAGUGUUUCACAGUUUGACACAUGAGAUGGAGCUUCAUUUAGUCAGCUACUUGGGUUCAUGGCUUCAUACCAAGGGCAAUCACAAUCUAGCCAUCAGCCUGGUGUGAUUCUGGGUAGGUAUUCUUUGGACUCGAGAAGUCGACAAUGCCUAGGAGCAUGCAACAUUCGAGUGUCCAUCUCAUUCAAGAAGCGUGUCAUCCUUGGGUGGCCUUUGGUAAAUCGUAUGAGGAACGGAUUUGGUACGAAUCAAGGUCUGUGAUAAGUAGGCCAUGUUGCGGGAUUUUCUAGAGGCCUAAACCUAGCUCUGUAUACUUUUCGAACUUGGUCCAUCUUAUAAACUUCAUGAACAUACACUUUCCAAUCUAGCCGCUGAUUCGCACAACAUGCAAAUACAUGUCGACAUGGAAUCCGGUCCACUUGAAAUUCGCCAUAGUCACAACGUUGAUGACGUAAGUCAACAUUGUACUCUAUCCCACCAGGCAUCUCACGCACUUCAAAAACCUAGAUCUGCUUGUCGAAAUAAUUAACCUGGAUGUUCCCUGAUGCACGUUGGUUUGCAUGUAGUUUUGAGGUCACAAGCUCAAAAAAAUAUGACCAGCAUUAAUGUGAGCCUUAGCCUCGACUCUUUUCUUGGUAAACAACUCAUUAAGUCUGUAAAAAGUUGUCUUUACUAGUGCAGUCAUAGGGAGAUUG